RNAcentral lists this ribosomal RNA (216 nucleotides) under uncultured bacterium. Its description in RNAcentral is "partial 16S ribosomal RNA". It matches the Rfam family "Bacterial small subunit ribosomal RNA", at positions 1284 to 1500 of the family's 1533-position model. The record is from RNAcentral.
AAUCUCAGUUCGGAUUGAAGUCUGAAAUUCGACUUCAUGAAGCUGGAAUUGCUAGUAAUGGCAGGUCAGCAUACUGCCGUGAAUACGUUCCCGGGCCUUGUACACACCGCCCGUCACACCAUGAGAGUUGGAGAUACCCGAAGCCUAUGAGCUAACUUUUAGAGGCAGUAGUCGAAGGUAGAAUCAAUGAUUGGGGUGAAGUCGUAACAAGGUACC